Non-coding RNA from Flavobacterium sp. LM4, 76 nucleotides. The record is from Rfam. Lineage: Bacteria; Pseudomonadati; Bacteroidota; Flavobacteriia; Flavobacteriales; Flavobacteriaceae.
CCCUAGCCCUGAUGGAAGCGGCAUCCUUUUGCGCCGGGGUUCGGCGUAAAAGAUACAGCGCACAGCAGGAAUCAGC